CCUACGGGUGGCAGCAGUGGGGAAUAUUGGGCAAUGGGCGCAACCCUGACCCAGCAACGCCGCGUGAAGGAUGAAGGCUUUCGGGUUGUAAACCUCUUUUCUCAGGGACGAAGCAAGUGACUGUACCCGAUGAAUAAGCCACGGCUAAUAAGGGCCAGCAGCCGGCGUAAUACGAAGGGGGGAAACGUUUACCGGGUGUACCGGGUGGAAAGGGAGUGGAGGCGGGAUUGCAAGUCAGAUGUGAAAACCACGGGCUUAACCAUUGGUCUGCAUUUGAAACUGUUGUGCUUGAGUACAGGAGAGGCAGACGGAAUUCCUAGUGUAGCGGUGAAAUGCGUAGAUAUUAGGAGGAACACCAGUGGCGAAGGCGGUCUACUGGACAGCAACUGACGCUGAGGCGCGAAAGCGUGGGGAGCAAACAGGAUUAGAUACCCCAGUAGUC
RNAcentral lists this ribosomal RNA (442 nucleotides) under uncultured bacterium. Its description in RNAcentral is "partial 16S ribosomal RNA". It matches the Rfam family "Bacterial small subunit ribosomal RNA", at positions 338 to 795 of the family's 1533-position model. The record is from RNAcentral.